CAUGCAGUCGAACGGCAGCGCGGACUUCGGUCUGGCGGCGAGUGGCGAACGGGUGAGUAAUACAUCGGAACGUACCCUGUUGUGGGGGAUAACUAGUCGAAAGAUUAGCUAAUACCGCAUACGACCUGAGGGUGAAAGCGGGGGACCGAAAGGCCUCGCGCAGCAGGAGCGGCCGAUGUCUGAUUAGCUAGUUGGUGGGGUAAAGGCCCACCAAGGCGACGAUCAGUAGCUGGUCUGAGAGGACGAUCAGCCACACUGGGACUGAGACACGGCCCAGACUCCUACGGGAGGCAGCAGUGGGGAAUUUUGGACAAUGGGGGCAACCCUGAUCCAGCAAUGCCGCGUGUGUGAAGAAGGCCUUCGGGUUGUAAAGCACUUUUGUCCGGAAAGAAAGCGCGCUGGUUAAUACCUGGCGUGGAUGACGGUACCGGAAGAAUAAGCACCGGCUAACUACGUGCCAGCAGCCGCGGUAAUACGUAGGGUGCGAGCGUUAAUCGGAAUUACUGGGCGUAAAGCGUGCGCAGGCGGUUUUGUAAGACAGGCGUGAAAUCCCCGAGCUCAACUUGGGAAUUGCGCUUGUGACUGCAAGGCUAGAGUAUGUCAGAGGGGGGUAGAAUUCCACGUGUAGCAGUGAAAUGCGUAGAGAUGUGGAGGAAUACCGAUGGCGAAGCAGCCCCCUGGGACGUCACUGACGCUCAUGCACGAAAGCGUGGGGAGCAAACAGGAUUAAUACCCUGGUAGUCCACGCCCUAAACGAUGUC
RNAcentral lists this ribosomal RNA (761 nucleotides) under Cupriavidus sp. NIISTBF10. RNAcentral describes it as "bacterial SSU rRNA". It matches the Rfam family "Bacterial small subunit ribosomal RNA", at positions 54 to 813 of the family's 1533-position model. The record is from RNAcentral. Lineage: Bacteria; Pseudomonadati; Pseudomonadota; Betaproteobacteria; Burkholderiales; Burkholderiaceae.